Molecule: long non-coding RNA, 2628 nt
Filed under: Sus scrofa (pig)
Lineage: Eukaryota; Metazoa; Chordata; Mammalia; Artiodactyla; Suidae
Description: lncRNA (ENSSSCG00025015149.1)
Source: RNAcentral
AAUAUACAAAAACCGGUUUUUGGUGUUUGGUAGCAGUGAACAAUCUGAAAACAAGUUCUAUCUAUAACGGUAUCAAAAAGGAAUAAAAUACUUAAAAAUAAAUUUAAUAAAAAUGCAAGACUUGAACACUGAAAAGUACAAAAACUUUUGAAAGCAAUGAAAGAAUACCUAAACAAAUGGAAAGACAUCCCGAAUUUAAUGGUUUGGAAGACUUAAUACUGUUAAGAUAGCAAUACUACCUAAACUGAUCUAUGGAUUCAAUACAAUUCCUGUCAUUUUGCAGAAGUUGAUGAGCUGAUCUUAAAAUUCAUAUAGAAUUGCACAAAAAUUAACUAAAAAUGGAUCAUAGACCUAAAUACAAGAGCUAAAACUAUGAAAAACUCUUGGAAGAAAACAGAAGUAAAUCAUUGUGCUCUUUGGAUAGGCAAAGCCUUUUUAGAUAUAACACCAAAAGUACAAGUGUCAAAAGAUAAAAUGGACUUCAUCAAAAUAAAAAAACCUCUCUGUUUCAAAGGACACUAUUAAGAGAGUGAAAAGGCAACCUAGAGGAUAGAAGAAAAUUAUGUCUCAUAUGGUACCUGUAUUCAGAAUAAAGAACUCCUACAACUCAACAAUAAAAAGACAAAUAAUUAAUCCAAUUAAAAAUGGACCAAGGAUCUUAACAGACACUUCUCCAAAGAAGAUACGCAAAUGGACAAUAAAUACAUGAAAAUUAGUCAUUGGGGUAAUGCAAACAAAAUCACAAUGAGAUACUAUGUUAUACUUAACUAGGUUGGCUAUAAUAAAAAAGAUGGACAAUAACAAUAUCCUUUUCUCCAACAUCCUUGCUGAGGACAUGUAGAAAUUAGAAACUUCAUACUUUGCUGGAAGGAAUGUAAAAUGGUGCAGCGUUUUGAAAAAGUUUUAGAGUUCCACAAAAUGGUAAACAUAGGGAGUCCCCUGGUGGUCUAGUGCUUAGGACUCAGUACUUUCACCACUGCAGCCUGGGUUCAAUCUCUGGUCUGGGAACUAAGAUCCCACAUCAAGCUGCUGUACACUGCAGCUCCCCCCCCCCAAAAAAAAAGAAAAUUAAAAAUAAAGCUAUCAUAUGACUCAGCAAUUCUAUUCCAAGGUAAAUAGUAAAGAGAGCUAAAAACAUGUCUAUAUAAAAACUUGUAAUUAAUGUUCAUAAUAGUAUUUUUCUUAAUAACCAAAAAGUGGAAAUAACCCAAGUGUUCGUCAAGUGAUGAAUGGGUGAAAAAUUAGGUGGCAUAGCCAUACAAUGGAAUAUUAUUCAGCUAUAAAAAGGAACAAGGGAGUUCCCAUCAUGGCUCAGUGGUUAACGAAUCUGACUAGGAACCAUGAGCCACAACAGGAACUCCCAGAUUUAUUUCUAAAUAAAUUGAAAAUUUGGGGCCUUGGUCACUAGGUAAGGAAUCUUCCCUAAGGUCUAUGAGCUAAUGCUAUUUUAUAUUUCCAAGAGUAUUCUUACUUUAACUGGUUUUAUAACACACUAGCUUCCUCUUUCAGCAAACUUAAAAGGUCACAGAAUCUAUGUUGAGUAAUACAUAAAAUACUUCAUAGAUUUUUUUUUUCAUCCCAUUAACUCCAAAAUGUAACCAUUGCUUGGAACUGUCUCUGACAAUUUGAUACAAGACAAGCCAAAAAGGACAGAUGUUCAUUACAAUCAUGUACAAUGGGUCAACUCUGAGGACAGCUACUAACUAUUCCAUACUUAGACUAUGUACAUUCCUGAGUUAUCAUCUCUGCUUUUAGACAAUAAUAUACAUAUGCAUUUUUUUCUUUUUAUGGCUCCGCCCACAGCAUAUGGAUGUUCCCAGGCCAGGGACUGAAUCUGAACCACAGCUGCCACUUAUGCCGCAGCUGUGGCAACCCUAGAUCCUUUAACCCACUGUGCCAGGCCAGGGAUUGAAGCACACACACCUCCGCAGCAACCUGAGCUGUUGCAGUCAGAUUCUUAACCCACUAUGCCACAGAAAGAACUCCUAAAUAUGCAUUUUUAAGUAUGGUAAAGGCAUGAUACCCAUUUUCUAUAAACCUUAUCCUAAGCGUGAUGGGUGUUCUAGUAUUAGAUGUAUAUAACAUACUUUUGAACACUGAGAGUGAAGUAGUGAUUUAAGACGUCAAUGUCUCCAGGACAUACUGGUGAUUACUUCUAACUGUAGAGCUACAUUAUAUUGAUUUUACUCUCUAUCCAGUUAAUCAAGAUGAUAAAAGCAGUUGCUACAGUAAGCUCUUCCUGAAUAGCGACUGUAAGUAGCUUGUUAAAAAUAAGAAGACAACCUGGAGUUCCUGCUGUGGCAAAGUGAUUAAUAAGGAUACACUGUUGCUGCAGAGUGUAGGUUGUAGCUGCAGCUCAGAUUUGCUCCCUGGCCUGGGAACUUCCACAUGCCACAGUGUUUGCCCCCGCCCUCCUGCCCCCAAGAUAAAUCACCUUGGAGAGAGCUCCUGGUCUCACCCACAACCUUUGUACAUUACCUUAUCUGAUCCUUUCAAUAAUUCUUUGUUGUCCAAGAAAAAAAUUGAGGUCCAAAACAAUUAGGUGACUUACUCAAGGUCACACCAUUCUACUUUCAUUCACUCAUUAUUCAUUUAACUAGUAUUUAUUGAUCAAAGGCACCUAUGUGC